GGCGAGAAUACAAACAUUGGUCUGGUUCUGGCGACGAGAAUCAGCCGUGUAUUGGUCGGCGCGAAAUCAAUCUUUAGGGAUGAGCAGCAGAUAUAUCGAUCCGCCCAAACCGAUCCGCCGCAUUUUAGACGGAUGUGUGAUGACGAGCGGACGGUUGCAGAUUGAUUUUUUUCAAUCUGCCUAGUUUUGGACGGAUGGUGGAUUUAAGGUACCUUUGACCGCAACUGAACCGCCAAAUUGCAAGCACCCCUAGUAAUUUGUAAGAUUUUGUGUUUUUAAUCUGUUUAGAUAUUAUGUUUGUGUUUUUAAUUGAAAAAGAGUCUAAAAUUUCUGUUGAAUA
Molecule: long non-coding RNA, 340 nt
Organism: Camellia sinensis
Lineage: Eukaryota; Viridiplantae; Streptophyta; Magnoliopsida; Ericales; Theaceae
Source: RefSeq, a predicted model, not a curated record